UACGUAGGGGGCGAGCGUUGUCCGGAUUUACUGGGCGUAAAGGGUGAGUAGGCGGUUAUAUAUGUCAGGUGUAAAAAGCUAUGGCUUAACCAUAGUAAGCACUUGAAACUGUAUGACUUGAGUGCAGGAGAGGUAAGCGGAAUUCCUAGUGUAGCGGUGAAAUGCGUAGAUAUUAGGAGGAACACCGGUGGCGAAGGCGGCUUACUGGACUGUAACUGACGCUGAGUCACGAAAGCGUGGGUAGCAAACAGGAUUAGAUACCCUGGUAGUCCCU
Molecule: ribosomal RNA, 274 nt
Filed under: uncultured prokaryote
Description: partial 16S ribosomal RNA
Rfam family: Bacterial small subunit ribosomal RNA
Source: RNAcentral